Molecule: ribosomal RNA, 461 nt
Filed under: uncultured bacterium
Lineage: Bacteria
Description: bacterial SSU rRNA
Rfam family: Bacterial small subunit ribosomal RNA
Source: RNAcentral
GAUGAACGCUGGCGGCGUGCCUAAUACAUGCAAGUCGAGCGGCAGCACGGUCUUCGGACUGGUGGCGAGCGGCGGACGGCUGAGUAACGCGUAGGAAUAUACCCCAAAGUGAGGGAUAACUGCCCGAAAGGGUGGCUAAAUACCGCAUGUGGUCUUCGGACUAAAGCCUUCGGGCGCUUUGGGGAAAUAGCCUGCGUAAGAUUAGCUAGUUGGUGAGGUAAUGGCCCACCAAGGCGACGAUCUUUAGCUGGUCUGAGAGGAUGACCAGCCAGACUGGAACUGAGACACGGUCCAGACUCCUACGGGAGGCAGCAGUAGGGAAUUUUCCACAAUGGGCGAAAGCCUGAUGGAGCAACGCCGCGUGCAGGAUGAAGGCCCUCGGGUCGUAAACUGCUUUUAUGUGCGAAGAAUAAUGACGGUAACACAUGAAUAAAGGGUCGGCUAACUACGUGCCAGCAGCC